UUUAGCAAAGGCAGCAAUGGGAAUUUCCGCAAUAGGACGGAAAGUCCUGAUGGCAGCAACGCCGCGUGAGUGAUGAAGGCCUUCGGAUUGUAAAACUCUGUUGUUUGGGAAGAACAUGAGCUAGUUGAAUAAACUGGCACCUUGACGGUACCUAACCACAAAGCCACGGAAUAACUACGUGCCAGCAGCCGCGGUAAUAA
Molecule: ribosomal RNA, 200 nt
Filed under: uncultured Bacillus sp.
Lineage: Bacteria; Bacillati; Bacillota; Bacilli; Caryophanales; Bacillaceae
Description: partial 16S ribosomal RNA
Rfam family: Bacterial small subunit ribosomal RNA
Source: RNAcentral